RNAcentral lists this non-coding RNA (23 nucleotides) under Cricetulus griseus (Chinese hamster). The record is from RNAcentral. Lineage: Eukaryota; Metazoa; Chordata; Mammalia; Rodentia; Cricetidae.
UAAAGUGUCUGCCUGUGAGGAUG